RNAcentral lists this ribosomal RNA (444 nucleotides) under uncultured Methanomicrobiales archaeon. Its description in RNAcentral is "bacterial SSU rRNA". It matches the Rfam family "Archaeal small subunit ribosomal RNA", at positions 894 to 1338 of the family's 1478-position model. The record is from RNAcentral. Lineage: Archaea; Methanobacteriati; Methanobacteriota; Methanomicrobia; Methanomicrobiales.
CCUGCGGUUAAUCGGACUCAACGCCGGGAAACUCACCAGAUAAGACAGCUGAAUGAUAGUCGGGCUGAAGACUCUACUUGACUAGCUGAGAGGAGGUGCAUGGCCGUCGUCAGUUCGUACUGUGAAGCAUCCUGUUAGGUCAGGCAACGAGCGAGACCCACGCCAACAGUUGCCAGCUCGUCCUCCGGGAUGGAGGGGACACUGUUGGGACCGCCUCUGCUAAAGAGGAGGAAGGAAUGGGCAACGGUAGGUCAGCAUGCCCCGAAUUAUCUGGGCUACACGCGGGCUACAAUGGGUGGGACAAUGGGUAUCGACACCGAAAGGUGAAGGCAAUCUCCUAAACCCAUCCUUAGUUCGGAUUGUGGGCUGCAACUCGCCCACAUGAAGCUGGAAUCUGUAGUAAUCGUGUUUCAAAAUAGCACGGUGAAUAUGUCCCUGCUCCUU